GUGGCCGUUGAAGCUUGAAGUUUUUAGAUUUUGGUUUUGUUUUCAUUGAAUAAUGUUUCUUAUUUCAUGCGAACUUGAUUUUGGUUUUAUGCUCUCAUUUAUUUGGUUUUGUUUUUAUCAAUAACUAUGUUUACCUUUUGUUUGAUUUUGAAUGAUCACGUUUGAUAUUUCUAUCUUAUUUUUUAAUUGAUUUUAUAUGUUUUGAUUACAAAAUAGGUAUAAAUCAAGUACUUUUAAACCGAAGAACCGAUUGGGACCCGAAUCCGAAAGCAUAAUGGGUUGUACCGGUUCUUUGAAGAUUUACUAAUCCCAACCCAAACCGGAUAGAACCCGAACCGGUCCUGAACCGAAUUUUCAUAUAACCC
RNAcentral lists this long non-coding RNA (365 nucleotides) under Brassica napus (rape). RNAcentral's name for it is "long non-coding RNA (BNAP_LNC016368)". Lineage: Eukaryota; Viridiplantae; Streptophyta; Magnoliopsida; Brassicales; Brassicaceae. The record is from RNAcentral.